AGACCAGCUUGCGCACCAGCGCUUGCAGGAUAAGGGAGUCGAUUUCACCGUGUCCAAGAGCCGUGAAUCUUCCGACCAUUUCGAUCUCCAAGGUUAGCCUGCGGCUCCGAUCUCGGCGUUUGGUGCGGCAGUGCGCCUAAAGCGAACGCUCCUGAAUAUCCUUUUGCAAUUGCGCGAGCGCGUGGCGCAGCCCAUGGAUCUGGUCCAUGAGAUGAAGGAUGACGUCGAUCCCCUCAUCAUUAGCACCCAGAUCGCUCUUUAGAUCAUGAAUGAGACGGGCCCGUGCAACAUCGAUGUCAGAGAACUGAAUUCCGACGGAGGUUUCCUCUGGAAUCAGCCAUCG
RNAcentral lists this unclassified non-coding RNA (343 nucleotides) under Hevea brasiliensis (rubber tree). The record is from RNAcentral. Lineage: Eukaryota; Viridiplantae; Streptophyta; Magnoliopsida; Malpighiales; Euphorbiaceae.